CCUACGGGUGGCAGCAGUGAGGAAUAUUGGUCAAUGGACGCAAGUCUGAACCAGCCAUGCCGCGUGCAGGAAGACGGCUCUAUGAGUUGUAAACUGCUUUUGUACGAGGGUAAACGCAGAUACGCGUAUCUGUCUGAAAGUAUCGUACGAAUAAGGAUCGGCUAACUCCGUGCCAGCAGCCGCGGUAAUACGGAGGAUCCAAGCGUUAUCCGGAUUUAUUGGGUUUAAAGGGUGCGUAGGCGGUUGGUUAAGUUAGAGGUGAAAUCCCGAGGCUCAACUUUGAAAUUGCCUUUGAUACUGGUCGUCUAGAGAGUAGUUGAGGUAGGCGGAAUGUAUGGUGUAGCGGUGAAAUGCUUAGAGAUCAUAAAGAACACCGAUUGCGAAGGCAGCUUACCAAGCUACUACUGACGUUGAGGCACGAAAGCGUGGGGAGCAAACAGGAUUAGAUACCCGAGUAGUC
RNAcentral lists this ribosomal RNA (460 nucleotides) under uncultured bacterium. RNAcentral describes it as "partial 16S ribosomal RNA". It matches the Rfam family "Bacterial small subunit ribosomal RNA", at positions 338 to 795 of the family's 1533-position model. The record is from RNAcentral.